This 440-nucleotide ribosomal RNA is filed under the name uncultured bacterium. RNAcentral describes it as "partial 16S ribosomal RNA". It matches the Rfam family "Bacterial small subunit ribosomal RNA", at positions 338 to 795 of the family's 1533-position model. The record is from RNAcentral.
CCUACGGGAGGCAGCAGUAGGGAAUAUUGCACAAUGGGGGAAACCCUGAACCAGCAACGCCGCGUGAGUGAAGAAGGAUUUCGGAAUGUAAAGUUCUAUCAUCAGAGAAGAUUAUGACGGUAUCUGACGAAUAAGCCCCGGCUAACUACGUGACAGCAGCCGCGGUAAUACGGAGGGGGCAAGCGUUAUACGGAUUUACUGGGAGUAAAGGGAGCGUAGGCGGGGGAAUAAGUCAUAUGUGAAAUGUCGUAGCUAAACUACAGGACUGCAUUGGAAACUGUUGCACUGGAGUAUGGGAGAGGUAAGCGGAAUUCUUGGUGUAGCGGUGAAAUGCGUAGAUAUUAGGAGGAACACUCGUGGCGGAGGCGGCCUACUGGAACAUAACUGACGUUGAUGCUCGAAAGCGUGGGGAGCAAACAGGAUUAGAUACCCGGGUAGUC